RNAcentral lists this non-coding RNA (335 nucleotides) under unclassified sequences. RNAcentral's name for it is "throat-1 RNA". It matches the Rfam family "throat-1 RNA". From Rfam's summary of the family: throat and tongue metagenomes. The record is from Rfam by way of RNAcentral.
AGCGAAGCCGUCGCUAUAUAAGGGAAAAUCAUUUAAAGAUAGUGAAUGACUGCGGUAUUACUAGCCGACGCAAUAAAUUAGUAGGGAUUAUACCAGCGUACCUAUUUCAAGCUAUAUAACCCCUAAAGGGUAGAAGAUGUAGCGACGCCCAUUCCGCUUAGCGAUGAAAUAGCGGAUAAAUCAGCUACGACGGGUAUGGUUUAAUCGCUAGAUUUCGAUUCUAGCAGCUGCGAAAGUGGCGGGAUUAUAUAGACGUAUCAGCAAUGAUACGAUACGUAGGGCAUGGAUUAAGACGCGUAAUAAUAUAUACGAUAGUAGAAUAUCGGCUAUAAAUA